GAUGAACGCUGGCGGCGUGCCUAAUACAUGCAAGUCGAGCGAACAGAUGAGGAGCUUGCUCCUCUCACGUUAGCGGCGGACGGGUGAGUAACACGUGGAUAACCUACCUAUCAGUCUGGGAUAACUUCGGGACACCGGCGCUAAUACCGGAUAAUAUACUGAACCGCAUGGUUCAAUAGUGAAAGACGGUUUUGCUGUCUCUUAUCGAUGGAUCCGCGCCGCAUUAGCUAGUUGGUGAGGUAACGGCUUUCCACGGCGAGCGUGCCUAGCCGACCUGAGGGGGGGGACGGCGACUCAGGAAGUGAGACGCGGUACAGACUCUUACAGGAGGCAGCGGUAGGGAAGCUUCGGAAAUGGGGGAAAGCCUGACGGAGCAACGCCACGUGAAUGAUGAAGGUCUGCGGAUCGUAAAACUGUGUUAUUAGGGAAGAACGAAUGUGUAAGUAACUAUGCACGUCUUGACGGUACCGAUUCAGAAAGCCACGGCAAACUACGU
Molecule: ribosomal RNA, 496 nt
Filed under: uncultured bacterium
Lineage: Bacteria
Description: partial 16S ribosomal RNA
Rfam family: Bacterial small subunit ribosomal RNA
Source: RNAcentral